This is a non-coding RNA of Triticum urartu, 347 nucleotides long. The record is from RefSeq and is a predicted model, not a curated record. NCBI's taxonomy places the organism in Eukaryota, Viridiplantae, Streptophyta, Magnoliopsida, Poales, Poaceae.
CGACGAGUUCCCGCAAAACGUACCUGUUCGGGCCUCUGUUUCAUCGCUCGACUAGGGGAAACCCUUUCCCCCACCCCGCGAUAGGAGCCAGACGAGGCAGCACGCGAGAAACCUCGACGGCGACGCGCAGAUUGAGGUGAAAAAAUUCAUGCUUUACUCUGUCAGUUGAGAUGUUGAAUAUGUGAUGCUCUAUCCUGCUCAUGUGAUGAUUGAACAAUUGAUGUUUUUCUCUCUCAAUUGAUAUGUUGUGUCCUGCUCAUGUGUAGAUUUAAUAGUGCAUGCUUUCUUUGUCAAAGGAGAUGGUGAAAUAAUGAUGUUGUGUGCUGCUAAUGCCAAGUUCAUAAUUA